Molecule: ribosomal RNA, 490 nt
Filed under: uncultured bacterium
Lineage: Bacteria
Description: partial 16S ribosomal RNA
Rfam family: Bacterial small subunit ribosomal RNA
Source: RNAcentral
AUUGAACGCUGGCGGCAGGCCUAACACAUGCAAGUCGAACGGUAACAGGAAGAAGCUUGCUUCUUUGCUGACGAGUGGCGGACGGGUGAGUAAUGUCUGGGAAACUGCCUGAUGGAGGGGGAUAACUACUGGAAACGGUAGCUAAUACCGCAUAACGUCGCAAGACCAAAAAGGGGGACCUUCGGGCCUCUUGCCAUCGGAUGUGCCCAGAUGGGAUUAGCUCGUAGGUGGGGUAACGGCUCACCUAGGCGACGAUCCCUAGCUGGUCUGAGAGGAUGACCAGCCACACUGGAACUGAGACACGGUCCAGACUCCUACGGGAGGCAGCAGUGGGGAAUAUUGCACAAUGGGCGCAAGCCUGAUGCAGCCAUGCCGCGUGUAUGAAGAAGGCCUUCGGGUUGUAAAGUACUUUCAGCGGGGAGGAAGGGAGUAAAGUUAAUACCUUGGCUCAUUGACGUUACCCGCAGAAGAAGCACCGGCUAACUCCGUG